AAUUCAUGCUUCACAUAAUCAUAUUAAAAUGUAUGCUAUGCCAAGAUAUAACGGAGUAAGCAAUUUAGGUAAGAAUAAAUUCAUAGAAAUAUGAUAUGUUGGCCGGAACCCCUGUGGUAGUAUGUAUGGCUGAAUUCAUAGCUCAAAAGUCAAUCUAGUCGGAGUCACUACAAUGACCUAUACGGCAAUGUACUGCACAUAAGUUGGAACCACUAAAAAGGGGUCUGUACGACAAGAUUGGGUGUAAUAUAAUUAUGCUCAAUUUUACUUUCUCAUAAUAGCCGGGCGAUAAAUCGCUGGUCACCUACGAGUCAGAACCAUAAAUAAGGUCUGUACGACAAGACUGUGCACUUAAGUUGGAUCCAAUAUGAGCAUAUAGUGCGGGAGGUGACGUAAAUAAACAGGCAUGUACCUCAUAUCUCUGGCUAAAUCACAAUCACCUAGGUGUAGUUUUAUGAGCUCAACAUUGUUCAAUCACAUAUCACAUCAUCGAUGAUUCACAUAAUCAAACAUAACUUACCUGUGCCUCCACAGCACCACAAUUAUAUAUAUAUGCAACCAUGGAAUGCAUAUUUAGAAUAUAAAAGCAUUUGGCAUAUUAAUUCAAAACAUACUUUCCUUAAAAUGCAUUUCUAGGAAAUAUAUCAAGUAUAUAAGUAUAUACUGAAAACAAAAGCCCACUCACUGAUAUGUCGAAGGGUCGUAGCCCCCGAGUCGCCCGUGGAUACGCUCGUCCUCGGGAUAAGUCUCACCUAUAUGCCAAUUAACUAUAAAAACAUUAUUUUAAAGCAGAUACUAGCUAAUAACUUCUCAUACAUUGCUCAAAAAGGGUAUAUGAAUAUACCAUAGUGACCUACACAACCUCACGAACAUUGUGAUAUUUUUAGAAAAAAUUUCCUAUGGCUCACGCGCCCUCACGCGUAUCACCUUUAAC
This 934-nucleotide long non-coding RNA is filed under the name Malus domestica (apple). Its description in RNAcentral is "long non-coding RNA (MDOM_LNC012886)". Lineage: Eukaryota; Viridiplantae; Streptophyta; Magnoliopsida; Rosales; Rosaceae. The record is from RNAcentral.